UGUGUGAAGAAGAGAAAC
Molecule: microRNA, 18 nt
Filed under: Corchorus olitorius
Lineage: Eukaryota; Viridiplantae; Streptophyta; Magnoliopsida; Malvales; Malvaceae
Description: cin-miR-4108-
Source: RNAcentral